UGGGGAAUAUUGGACAAUGGGCGAAAGCCUGAUCCAUGCCAUGCCGCGUGUGUGAAGAAGGUCUUCGGAUUAUAAAGCACUUUAAG
Molecule: ribosomal RNA, 86 nt
Filed under: uncultured Pseudomonas sp.
Lineage: Bacteria; Pseudomonadati; Pseudomonadota; Gammaproteobacteria; Pseudomonadales; Pseudomonadaceae
Description: partial 16S ribosomal RNA
Rfam family: Bacterial small subunit ribosomal RNA
Source: RNAcentral